This 782-nucleotide ribosomal RNA is filed under the name uncultured Neocallimastigales. RNAcentral's name for it is "partial large subunit ribosomal RNA". It matches the Rfam family "Eukaryotic large subunit ribosomal RNA", at positions 24 to 643 of the family's 3401-position model. Lineage: Eukaryota; Fungi; Neocallimastigomycota; Neocallimastigomycetes; Neocallimastigales. The record is from RNAcentral.
UAUCUCUGUAGAGUCUGCAUAUCAAUAAGCGGAGGAAAAGAAACUAACAAGGAUUCCCUUAGUAACGGCGAGUGAAGCGGGAAGAGCUCAAAUUUGAAAUCUUGCAAGGUUCUACCUUUCACGAAUUGUAGUUUAAAGAAGUGUUUUCUGUUACGAUCAUAAUCAUAAGUUCCUUGGAAUAGGGACAUCAUAGAGGGUGAGAAUCCCGUAUAUUGAUUAUGCAUUUGCUAACUUUGUGAUACACUUUCAAAGAGUCGGAUUGUUUGGGAAUGCAGUCCAAAAUGGGUGGUAAAUUUCAUCUAAGGCUAAAUAUUGGCGAGAGACCGAUAGCGAACAAGUACCGUGAGGGAAAGAUGAAAAGAACUUUGAAAAGAGAGUUAAACAGUACGUGAAAUUGUCAAAAGGGAAGCGUUUGACACCAGUGUUGUUUUUCCGAAAAUCAAUUACGAAUGGCUUGAUUCUGUGUUGUAUUGACCUUAUCAGCUUUCUGCACUUUUUUCGAGUCUUUCUUAAUGCACUUUUCGGUUAACAAGUCAACAUCAAUUUCUUUUGUUGUAAAAGAGUAUUCGGAAGGUGGCUUUCUUUUCGGAGAAAGUGUUUAUAGCCCUAUACUUCUACAAUCGGAGAGAUUGAGGUCUGCAGCGUAGAUCCUUCGGGGUUAGAUACACUUUGUGCUAAGUUGUAGCCUUUCAUAGACAACUUGUUGACUAUGUUUAGUCAUGCGGCUUACUCGCUUAUGCUAUUUUACCUACGCUUAGGAUGUUGAAGAUGUAGCACAUCAU